GGCCUUCGGGUUGUAAACCUCUUUCAGCAGGGAAGAAGCGCAAGUGACGGUACCUGCAGAAGAAGCGCCGGCUAACUACGUGCCAGCAGCCGCGGUAAUACGUAGGGCGCAAGCGUUGUCCGGAAUUAUUGGGCGUAAAGAGCUCGUAGGCGGUUUGUCGCGUCUGGUGUGAAAACUCGAGGCUCAACCUCGAGCUUGCAUCGGGUACGGGCAGACUAGAGUGCGGUAGGGGAGACUGGAAUUCCUGGUGUAGCGGUGGAAUGCGCAGAUAUCAGGAGGAACACCGAUGGCGAAGGCAGGUCUCUGGGCCGCAACUGACGCUGAGGAGCGAAAGCAUGGGGAGCGAACAGGAUUAGAUACCCUGGUAGUCCAUGCCGUAAACGUUGGGCACUAGGUGUGGGGCUCAUUCCACGAGUUCCGUGCCGCAGCAAACGCAUUAAGUGCCCCGCCUGGGGAGUACGGCCGCAAGGCUAAAACUCAAAGGAAUUGACGGGGGCCCGCACAAGCGGCGGAGCAUGCGGAUUAAUUCGAUGCAACGCGAAGAACCUUACCAAGGCUUGACAUGCACGGGAAGCCACCAGAGAUGGUGGUCUCUUUGGACACUCGUGCACAGGUGGUGCAUGGUUGUCGUCAGCUCGUGUCGUGAGAUGUUGGGUUAAGUCCCGCAACGAGCGCAACCCUCGUCCCAUGUUGCCAGCGGGUUAUGCCGGGGACUCAUGGGAGACUGCCGGGGUCAACUCGGAGGAAGGUGGGGAUGACGUCAAAUCAUCAUGCCCCUUAUGUCUUGGGCUUCACGCAUGCUACAAUGGCCGGUACAAAGGGCUGCGAUACCGUAAGGUGGAGCGAAUCCCAAAAAGCCGGUCUCAGUUCGGAUUGGGGUCUGCAACUCGACCCCAUGAAGUCGGAGUCGCUAGUAAUCGCAGAUCAGCAACGCUGCGGUGAAUACGUUCCCGGGCCUUGUACACACCGCCCGUCAAGUCACGAAAGUCGGUAACACCCGAAGCCCAUGGC
This 1011-nucleotide ribosomal RNA is filed under the name Cellulosimicrobium sp. RNAcentral's name for it is "bacterial SSU rRNA". It matches the Rfam family "Bacterial small subunit ribosomal RNA", at positions 413 to 1434 of the family's 1533-position model. The record is from RNAcentral. Lineage: Bacteria; Bacillati; Actinomycetota; Actinomycetes; Micrococcales; Promicromonosporaceae.